Long non-coding RNA from Nymphaea colorata (pocket water lily), 187 nucleotides. RefSeq lists it as uncharacterized. Lineage: Eukaryota; Viridiplantae; Streptophyta; Magnoliopsida; Nymphaeales; Nymphaeaceae. The transcript has 3 exons. The record is from RefSeq and is a predicted model, not a curated record.
GGACUGGAAAGACAUCUGUACGUGGUGCGUGGGCAGACAAUAUGACAUGGUUCAAAGGAGACCUGCUUGUACCCGACUCACUUAAGGAUGCCUUUGAUGGAGUUACUGCUGUGGUAUCUUGUGUUGGAGGCUUUGGCUCAAACUCUCAUAUGUAUAAAGUCAAUGGAACUGCAAAUAUUAAUGCUAU